Molecule: long non-coding RNA, 2071 nt
Organism: Cercocebus atys (sooty mangabey)
Lineage: Eukaryota; Metazoa; Chordata; Mammalia; Primates; Cercopithecidae
Exons: 3
Source: RefSeq, a predicted model, not a curated record
UUCUGACCUCCCAAUUUGCCCUCAUACGCUUGACCAGCAAAACCUUAGCGUAGCUGCAUUCAUCAAUGGCUCUAUUCAGGCAAUAAUGGCUCAGACAAAAGAUUAAAUUAAAACAGAUCCCACAAGUCUCCUUAGUAUAUUCACAACAUGCUUUGGCCUCUAUGGCACUUCCAUAUAACCUUCUCCGUAUCCCAAUAUUGACAAUUCCUAGUUCGGAAAUGACAAACAUAAUAUUAGAACAAGAGAAGAAGGGAAGCUGGUGAGAAAGAAAGAACAGACUAGACUGGGUGCAGAAAUCAUAUCAUCCAUUUGCUGUCUGUCCUCGAGUGCAUCCUGGGGCCUGGCCCAUGGCAGGCUGAUUGGAAAUGCAUACUGAACGAGUCAAUCUCCUCAAGAAGGUCACAACCCAGGUAAGAAGUGGAGUCUACACAUUACACCAAGUUCAGAUAGAGAAUCAAAGCCACCUCUUCGGCUCCAGAUAUGCAGGGAGGACAAAGCAUGAGAGCAUAUGCCUUCAGCAAGGAGACAGGUGCGUGCUUCCUGUUUACCUGGGCAGAUAUUUGCAAAUAGUCUAAGAAGGGGGGCAACUAGGAGUGACUUACACAGUUCUAAGUGAAUGGUUAUGCAAAUCGCUUGAGCAAAUACAGGGAAAGAAACAGGAAAGGCUUCUGAACUGGUUUUCCUCCUCUGCCCCAGUAUUUUCAGAGGGUACGGUGAAAGACAAAAAACCCGAAGGCUCCGGGCCAACCGCAAAGCUACUCUCCAGGAGGAACUCUUGCCUCCUCGCCUGUGGAAAAGGAUCCAAAGCAUUGGUUUACACUGCUAUUUACAAGCAACUGAAGAAGGUAAUCAUGUGAAGCCAAUGAAAUAAUAAACAGGACCACUUCGGAUGACCCAUAAGGCAGAUCUGCUCCCCAAAAGUUUACUCUUGAAUGUUGACGAAGGUUGAGCUAGGCAAAAUGGUAAAUUCACACACACGGUAUGUAGCCCCUUCCCCAACCCCAGUCUCCAUUACCAGGGGCAAGUUGUAACCUAACUGCCUCCUUUUACCCACACACCCAUCUCCUGCCCAGUCUUUAUGCCUGGUGAUAUGACACCCCAUUCCCUCUUAAUUAACUGUGCUUAUAGGGAAGCAUCUGGAUACGCUAUGCAUUUAAUCUGUGAGGAGUCGAUCAUUUACUCAUCAUUGACAGUAAUGCUCAUUCCUGUGUCAUUUCAGAGGACUUCUGGAGUGGAUGGAGACACAUGCCACCAAUAGAUGCAUUUCAGUCUGUCUUCCGGGCCUCCUUUAGAGGUCUCCCUCUCUUACCCACCUGUCACACGCCCAUGUCUUCCACAGCCAAACCUGUCCCCAACUUUUUGUUCUCACUAAAGUCCAAAUGACAGAAAUUUAGCUGGAUUAGUACUUACCUUCGCCUUGAAGGAAAGGGAAGUGCUCAUUAGCUUCUUACAUUGGAACAGGUCUGCAGGUGAAAAUGAAGCUGUGCUCAUCUCUGGCAGGAAGGUUGGGCAUGAGGUGUCUAGUCCUAAUGAGCAGCGUUUAUUUGGUGGGUGCCUCCCACUUGCCACUUUCUACACAGCCACCUGAGUAUCACUCCAGUUAGUCUGAGCAUAUGAAACACAUGCAACUCCCUAGACCCACCAUGCUUUUUCAUGACUCUGAACACACAGCAGUGCCUCCUCCGCUAAGAACACAGUUCCCCACUACCAAGCUUUGCUUUGCCCAACAGACCCCUUCCCCUUAGGACGAGAUUCAGUGGAUAAUGACAUCAUAAUCAAUCAUGACCCUCUGGGAAGCCGCCUCUCUCAUCCUGGGUUGUAUGUCUCCUCUCCACACUCCCUCAGCACCCUUUGCCUCCCUCUUUCAUAGAAUCUACCAUACGAGAUUUUAACUGUUUAUCUUCCACUCGACGAUGAACUCCUUGAAGACUGAAUUUCUAGGACCUUUUGUUGGAUCUGCACAUUUGUGAAGUGAAUUACUGAAGGCUGCCCAGUUUCAUCUGCUCCUAGUCAAAACCUAAAUCCCUUAUUUCUAUGCUAUUUUUUGUCAGGUAAAAAUAAAACAUGUAAA